This 159-nucleotide non-coding RNA is filed under the name Rickettsia sp. RNAcentral's name for it is "6S RNA". It matches the Rfam family "6S / SsrS RNA". From Rfam's summary of the family: E. coli 6S RNA was the first non coding RNA to be sequenced, but its function was unknown until recently. It consists of 184 nucleotides that fold into an extended hairpin structure with a large single-stranded internal bulge. The 6S RNA specifically associates with RNA polymerase holoenzyme containing the sigma70 specificity factor. Lineage: Bacteria; Pseudomonadati; Pseudomonadota; Alphaproteobacteria; Rickettsiales; Rickettsiaceae. RNAcentral also lists the same sequence under 2 other names. The record is from RNAcentral.
AAUGGGCUGCUUGGUUCGUGAGCUUAACGUAUUGCCCCGGGACUAUAAUUUUUAUUAUUAGGAAACCGUCCCUGUCUGAAUCUAUUAUACAGAUAUAUGGAUUCCACCUUACAUACAGGUUCUUUGAGGAUCUUAGGCAACGACCGAAGUGGUUCAUUU